Molecule: long non-coding RNA, 453 nt
Organism: Hippocampus zosterae (dwarf seahorse)
Lineage: Eukaryota; Metazoa; Chordata; Actinopteri; Syngnathiformes; Syngnathidae
Exons: 2
Source: RefSeq, a predicted model, not a curated record
UUCAUUAUAACUUGCUAGUAACUAGUUUGACCAUUGUUCUUGAAGCAGGCACUUUUUUCUUAUAUCUUCUCUCCACGUGUGGAAAUAUUUGGCGUUGUAGAAGAUGUAAAAUUGCAUGUAGGUAUUGAACACAACGAUGGUCAUUAAAAUUUGACACUUCCAACUACCACCAUUAAAAAGACACCAAAGUGAAAAGGUCUUAUGGAAUCUUUAUUUUACAGUCAGACCAAAAACAGAAAUGCUUUUCUUUUUUUCCUUUAACAUCAGGUCUGCAAUGGCCUCACGGUCGUAAACACUUCUGUCAAAAUGUCACUCAAAUCUCAACUUCCAUCUCGUCAUAAAAACACAUAAUAAUAAAGUACACUGAAAAUUGAUUAAGAUGAUCAAAAAUCAUCCCAAUUGAACUCACAGCGACCUUAACCAAAUUGCUGAACAAUGUCGAUGUGUCUGGGG